This is a non-coding RNA of Podarcis lilfordi (Lilford's wall lizard), 73 nucleotides long. The record is from the annotation of a GenBank genome assembly. Lineage: Eukaryota; Metazoa; Chordata; Lepidosauria; Squamata; Lacertidae.
UCUGGGAUAGCUCAGUCGGAUAAAGAUGAGACUCUCAAUCUUGGGGACAUGGGUUCGAGACCCACUUUGGGCA